RNAcentral lists this unclassified non-coding RNA (1432 nucleotides) under Hevea brasiliensis (rubber tree). The record is from RNAcentral. Lineage: Eukaryota; Viridiplantae; Streptophyta; Magnoliopsida; Malpighiales; Euphorbiaceae.
AUCAGAUCAAGAAUUAAAACCACAUUAUUUCAAGUCUCAACAUUCAAUAAUUUCCCCAUAUGCUACCGCAGUAAUUACUAGUUUCCUCCUCCCCAGAAUCCAACUCAUCACUACUUGAUUCAUCAGUAUCCUCAAAUCCAAAUUCGCUUAAAGAUUGUUUAUCAUCCGAGCAAUAAUCAUCAACUUGUGGUAACUCGAGAUCCAAGGAAAUAGAUUCGUCUGCUGAAUAGUUCUCCUCUCCUAUUUCAUCAUUUCGUUUUUCACUUGUACUUGUUGAAUCAUCAAGGAUGGAGUAAGCACUUCGGUUACUUGGGUCACCAUAUAGAGCGACAUGUCGGUAGUAGAGUUCAAGUUCCUUUUCAGCAAUCGCAAUGAAACGUCUCACAGACUCUAGCGACUGCUCAUAUUUGGAUUUUUCCAAUGCCUUCUUCUUUGACAGUGUAUCAAUAGGAGACAUAAUUUCGGGUUGCACAUAAUCCCUUCCUCUGUAAAAAACUAUUGUAUCAUCUGCAAUUAUCUGAAUUGGGAUGCCGCCACUCAGUCUUGCAAUUUCAUCGGCAUAUUCUUGGACUUGACCAGGUUUGCAUAUGACUUUGACUGUUUCAUGUUUUUUCCAAUGUAAAUGCAUAUUAAGAAUAACACCACCAAAGACUCCCCUUCUGCCAAUUGGCACAUAAUUAGACCUUUUUUGCCCCAUCUUUUUUAUAUAGAAUCGUUCUUCGCCAGUGAGGAAGUGUGGCUUAACCUCAGGACCUUGAACUUUGGUAACCUCAUAUCGCUUUAGUCUCUCAAUCAACAGCGCUUCUUUGACUUUUGCAUUUUCUAUCUUCUGCUUAAUUCUUUCUUCAGCAGUGUCAAACUUCUGCUUCUUCUUCUUCCCCUUUAGACCAAGCCUUCUUGGAUCCCUCUUAUUUGCAGCAUUUCUCUUCUUCUUCUCUCUCUUCCUUUGCAGCUUCAGCCUCUUCUUUGUCUUCCAUUUUUCUUUCUUUGGUGCUUCCACUUCAUGUGUCUCAAACUUGGGUUUCCCAUCUUUUGUUAUAACAAAAUUCACACUUCCAUGACUAAAGUUCCUCAAGUCCCAACAUGAGCCUUGUCGGGUUAAGCUAUUUUGAGGCACAAACCUUGACAAGUGCAAAAAGCUUUCUCGGUUUCCAAGAAUUGGCGUGUACGAGGUAGAGGAAGAGGAUAGAGGCCUGCGAUGUGAAAGUAACAGAAGUCUUCGAAAACUUCUAAAUAGAGGAAUAGCCAUAUAAUGUUGUUGUUUGCCUUCAACGGGGCUGGCGAGCUACUUCACCGUGAAGACUCUCGAAAUUAGGCUAUUUAUCAUAUAUUUUUAUGGAUAAAUAAUGGGUUGAGUGAUGAAUAAUAUGUGCAUCCAUCUUAUCCGGCACCAGUUUCAGCAAACUUAAUCCAUUUCGGAGUUAUGGUGGUG